UACGUAGGGUGCAAGCGUUAAUCGGAAUUACUGGGCGUAAAGCGUGCGCAGGCGGUUAUGUAAGACAGAUGUGAAAUCCCCGGGCUUAACCUGGGAACUGCAUUGGUGACUGCAUUGCUGGAGUAUGGCAGAGGGGGGUGGAAUUCCACGUGUAGCAGUGAAAUGCGUAGAGAUGUGGAGGAACACCGAUGGCGAAGGCAGCCCCCUGGGCCAAUACUGACGCUCAUGCACGAAAGCGUGGGGAGCAAACAGG
RNAcentral lists this ribosomal RNA (253 nucleotides) under uncultured bacterium. Its description in RNAcentral is "partial 16S ribosomal RNA". It matches the Rfam family "Bacterial small subunit ribosomal RNA", at positions 524 to 776 of the family's 1533-position model. The record is from RNAcentral.